Molecule: unclassified non-coding RNA, 145 nt
Filed under: uncultured Helotiales
Lineage: Eukaryota; Fungi; Ascomycota; Leotiomycetes; Helotiales
Description: sequence contains ITS2
Source: RNAcentral
CAACCCUCAAGCUCUGCUUGGUAUUGGGUCUCGUCUAUUAGUGACGGGCCUUAAAAUCAGUGGCGGUGCCAUGUGGCUCUAAGCGUAGUAAUUUUCUCGCUAUAGACGUCUAGUGGAUACUUGCCAGCAACCCCCAAUUUUUAAA